CGCGUAGGCGGUCUGGUAAGUCCCGUGUGAAAUCCCUCGGCUCAACUGGGGAAUGGCACGGGAAACUGCUUGGCUUGAGUUCGGGAGAGGGAAGCGGAAUUCCGGGUGUAGCGGUGAAAUGCGUAGAUAUCCGGAGGAACACCGGUGGCGAAGGCGGCUUCCUGGACCGACACUGACGCUGAGGCGCGAAAGCUAGGGGAGCAAAACGG
RNAcentral lists this ribosomal RNA (209 nucleotides) under uncultured bacterium. RNAcentral describes it as "partial 16S ribosomal RNA". It matches the Rfam family "Bacterial small subunit ribosomal RNA", at positions 568 to 776 of the family's 1533-position model. The record is from RNAcentral.